Molecule: long non-coding RNA, 1654 nt
Organism: Siniperca chuatsi (mandarin fish)
Lineage: Eukaryota; Metazoa; Chordata; Actinopteri; Centrarchiformes; Sinipercidae
Exons: 4
Source: RefSeq, a predicted model, not a curated record
UUGCUGUUGCUGUGUAUUCUCAUAAUGCAAGCCUCGAAAGUCCUAGAAGCAAGAACUGUUGGUGUUUUCAGAGUCUUAACCAACUAGUUGUAGUGCUGUUCCCAGUUAGCACUGAUUAGGUGAGUUGCAGGUCAAAGAAGUCAUACAUACGUAACUUACACACGUAACCAAAUGCAGCCCAAGCAUUUUUAUGGAGCUCUCAAAGUCUGAAAAGUUAUUUUCCAUAUUGUGUGCACACAAGUUAAUAACAACAUGAGGACUGCAGAUUUAAUCUGGACAUCUAGACGUCUUUUGACAUUAAGUUAACAAAAUCAGUGCUGUACUGGAUUUUGGUCUUUCCCCUGUGUAUGUAAAUCUACACAGCCAGAAAGUUGUGCUGACUUUAAGACAGACAUGUAUUAACAAAUUCUCAGAAACACUAUUCCAAUGACCAAAUUUUAUAAUUGUACUUGAGAUAAUAUGUUGAUGUUGUUCUUGAUGGGUUUUUUUCUCCCAUCUAACGUCUCUCUUCAGUGCACACUGUGUGAACUAUAACUCUGAGAAUAUUUCUGUCCUGGCACUUAGGCAACAAUAGUCUACACAACAACUAUGCCAGCUGCAGACUGGAUGUGGGUUUUUGGCUUUACUUUCGUCUUCUAGCAACAAUAAGCCUUUCAUAAAUACGCAACCAAAACAACGUACAACAAACGACACCAAUUAAAUUCAUACUUAAGUUUUAAGCAUCUGUGCUGCUUCCAUUCAGCAGUACUGUUAGUUAAAGUAACUUUUAUUUAUUUCUUGACCAUGAGUCUAUGCAAGCUAUUACAAAUAAAUGUUAUAGACAUUGAUUAACCUUUUCCACUGUUACAACCUAACCUUGUAUUGACAUACAAGACAUGUGUAUACUAUGGUAUGUGUUGUGGGUGUCUCUCUCUCUCUCUCUUCAUGUGGACCUGUUGUGGAGUGGCUGUGCAUGUGUCUGAUGAGCUGCAGGUAAGCUGCUAUGAUUGGUUGGGUUGAAUGAUUGCCCAGGUGGUUCUGGUUGAUGAUCGUGGCAGCCUUUGAGGACACAAGACCUGCUGCCACCAGGCUCUCCUUCUUCAAUAAGUCAACACCGUUUUCUUGAUAUCCCUGUUGUGUUUUGAAGCAAAUCGUUUGAUGCGAAAACCUUUGCAGUCCUGGGAACUGUUGGGGUUUUUGAGAUCCCCAUGAAGACACCGUGCCAUGGACUUUGGAUUCUGGAUUCUCUCCUUGAUGAAGAAGAUGGCAAGCCACAGUUUGAACCUCAUCAUCCCUCUACUCUGAGGAGGAAACUAACCCUCAGCUUCCUUACUCAAUGACACCUUUGUGGUCUAGCGGGUGAUCUAAAGUGUUGUUAUUGUCCUCUCCGUCGUCAUUGGCCAGUGGGUUGCGGCUGAUGACCAGCUCCAGUCUGUCUCCAGCCUCUGUGAUCAGAGGCACUGCCAGGCAGCAGUCAAAGUCCCUCGUCCUCACAUGGUUCACCUGGAUAAAGAACACGAGACGCAGACAAUGGCUGCUCUGGAUCCUGUCGUAGGGUUUGAGCCCGGCUCGGUCUGCUGGGCCGUCGGGUCUGAUCAUGUUGACGUAAACUCCUUUCUCCAAGAAGCCAUCUGACACACUGAAGCCAAAGUCGUCAAUCUCUGGGUCCUUUACC